RNAcentral lists this ribosomal RNA (92 nucleotides) under bacterium M00.F.Ca.ET.191.01.1.1. RNAcentral's name for it is "partial 23S ribosomal RNA". It matches the Rfam family "Bacterial large subunit ribosomal RNA", at positions 2841 to 2925 of the family's 2925-position model. The record is from RNAcentral.
AAGACGACCACGUUGAUAGGCCGGGUGUGGAAGAGCGGCAACGCUUGAAGCUUACCGGUACUAAUAGUUCGAUAGGCUUGAUCGUUCUCAUU